RNAcentral lists this unclassified non-coding RNA (745 nucleotides) under Hevea brasiliensis (rubber tree). The record is from RNAcentral. Lineage: Eukaryota; Viridiplantae; Streptophyta; Magnoliopsida; Malpighiales; Euphorbiaceae.
GCAAAUAAUAGCCUUAGCGGAGAAAUCCCUUUAGAAAUCAGAAGUUUACGCAGAUUGGAGUACUUAAUUCUGACAAAUAAUUCCAUCACUGGAAAAAUUCCUGUGGAGCUAAGUUAUUUGUCAGAGACUGAAGUUGUUUCUCUAGCCGGAAACAACCUUAUAGGAGUUAUUUCCUCUUCCUCUUGCUAAUCUAUUACCUCUUCAGGUACUUGCUACUGUUGCAUCCCAAGUUAAUAAUUAUUGCAAAGCUAAAUUGAUGUUGAAUUUAUUGCAGUCCCUUCCUCAAUAUUGUUAAUAUCUCCUGUAUCCAGGUUUUGAAUUUACGUGACAACUCGCUCCAAGGUCCACUUUCAUGAAUUAUUUCUUUAAUGCUCGCAAUAGUUUUUCUGGACAAGUACCUUCUUUCAUUUGCAGUUUAAAUUACCUUAACCUUCUUAACCUUUCCGAUAAUAAUUUUGGUGGAACUAUACCAAGAUGUCUUGGAAAGUUGAGUAAUGAUUUCUCACUCCUAGAUUUGAGAAUGAAUCGGUUUCAUGGUCCACUUCACAUAUUCCCAUCUUCCCCUGAAUAUUUCUAUAUUGCAGACAACAACAUUUCUGGGGAGAUCCCUUCCUUGUCUUGCAAUUUAAAUUGCCUGCGAUAUCUUGCCUUGUCUAUUAACACUCUGGGUGGAAUAUUACCAAAAUGCCUUGGAAACAUCAGCAAUCUUUUCUAUUCCCUAAAUUUAGCCAUGAAUCAGUCCCAU